Molecule: ribosomal RNA, 253 nt
Filed under: uncultured bacterium
Lineage: Bacteria
Description: partial 16S ribosomal RNA
Rfam family: Bacterial small subunit ribosomal RNA
Source: RNAcentral
UACGUAGGAUGCAAGCGUUGUCCGGAGUUAUUGGGUGUAAAGCGCAUGUAGGCGGUUUGUUAAGUGUGGUGUGAAACCUCCGGGCUUAACCCGGAGUGGUCGCUGCAAACUGGCAGACUGGAGGGCUGGAGAGGAAGACGGAAUUCCCGGUGUAGUGGUGAAAUGCGUAGAUAUCGGGAGGAACACCAGUGGCGAAGGCGGGUCUCUGGACAGUUCCUGACGCUGAGGCACGAAGGUCAGGGGAGCAAACGGG